Molecule: non-coding RNA, 2365 nt
Organism: Salmo salar (Atlantic salmon)
Lineage: Eukaryota; Metazoa; Chordata; Actinopteri; Salmoniformes; Salmonidae
Source: RefSeq, a predicted model, not a curated record
UCCCUUUAACACACCCGUACGGUAAACACAGAUAGGUCUAUACUGUAGGUCCAUAGGACCAAUAUCCCUUUAACACACCCGUACGGUAAACACAGAUAGGUCUAUACUGUAGGUCCAUAGGACCAAUAUCCCUUUAACACACCCGUACGGUAAACACAGAUAGGUCUAUACUGUAGGUCCAUAGGACCAAUAUCCCUUUAACACACCCGUACGGUAAACACAGAUAGGUCUAUACUGUAGGUCCAUAGGACCAAUAUCCCUUUAACACACCGUACGGUAAACACAGAUAGGUCUAUACUGUAGGUCCAUAGGACCAAUAUCCCUUUAACACACCCGUACGGUAAACACAGAUAGGUCUAUACUGUAGGUCCAUAGGACCAAUAUCCCUUUAACACACCCGUACGGUAAACACAGAUAGGUCUAUACUGUAGGUCCAUAGGACCAAUAUCCCUUUAACACACCCGUACGGUAAACACAGAUAGGUCUAUACUGUAGGUCCAUAGGACCAAUAUCCCUUUAACACACCCGUACGGUAAACACAGAUAGGUCUAUACUGUAGGUCCAUAGGACCAAUAUCCCUUUAACACACCCGUACGGUAAACACAGAUAGGUCUAUACUGUAGGUCCAUAGGACCAAUAUCCCUUUAACACACCCGUACGGUAAACACAGAUAGGUCUAUACUGUAAGUCCAUAGGACCAAUAUCCCUUUAACACACCCGUACAGUAAACACAGAUAGGUCUAUACUGUAGGUCCAUAGGACCAAUAUCCCUUUAACACACCCGUACAGUAAACACAGAUAGGUCUAUACUGUAGGUCUAUACUGUAGGUCCAUAGGACCAAUAUCCCUUUAACACACCCGUACAGUAAACACAGAUAGGUCUAUACUGUAGGUCCAUAGGACCAAUAUCCCUUUAACACACCCGUACGGUAAACACAGAUAGGUCUAUACUGUAGGUCCAUAGGACCAAUAUCCCUUUAACACACCCGUACGGUAAACACAGAUAGGUCUAUACUGUAGGUCCAUAGGACCAAUAUCCCUUUAACACACCGUACGGUAAACACAGAUAGGUCUAUACUGUAGGUCCAUAGGACCAAUAUCCCUUUAACACACCCGUACGGUAAACACAGAUAGGUCUAUACUGUAGGUCCAUAGGACCAAUAUCCCUUUAACACACCCGUACGGUAAACACAGAUAGGUCUAUACUGUAGGUCCAUAGGACCAAUAUCCCUUUAACACACCCGUACGGUAAACACAGAUAGGUCUAUACUGUAGGUCCAUAGGACCAAUAUCCCUUUAACACACCCGUACGGUAAACACAGAUAGGUCUAUACUGUAGGUCCAUAGGACCAAUAUCCCUUUAACACACCCGUACGGUAAACACAGAUAGGUCUAUACUGUAGGUCCAUAGGACCAAUAUCCCUUUAACACACCCGUACGGUAAACACAGAUAGGUCUAUACUGUAAGUCCAUAGGACCAAUAUCCCUUUAACACACCCGUACAGUAAACACAGAUAGGUCUAUACUGUAGGUCCAUAGGACCAAUAUCCCUUUAACACACCCGUACAGUAAACACAGAUAGGUCUAUACUGUAGGUCUAUACUGUAGGUCCAUAGGACCAAUAUCCCUUUAACACACCCGUACAGUAAACACAGAUAGGUCUAUACUGUAGGUCCAUAGGACCAAUAUCCCUUUAACACACCCGUACGGUAAACACAGAUAGGUCUAUACUGUAGGUCCAUAGGACCAAUAUCCCUUUAACACACCGUACGGUAAACACAGAUAGGUCUAUACUGUAGGUCCAUAGGACCAAUAUCCCUUUAACACACCCGUACGGUAAACACAGAUAGGUCUAUACUGUAGGUCCAUAGGACCAAUAUCCCUUUAACACACCCGUACGGUAAACACAGAUAGGUCUAUACUGUAGGUCCAUAGGACCAAUAUCCCUUUAACACACCCGUACGGUAAACACAGAUAGGUCUAUACUGUAAGUCCAUAGGACCAAUAUCCCUUUAACACACCCGUACCGUAAACACAGAUAGGUCUAAACUGUAGGUCCAUAGGACCAAUAUCCCUUUAACACACCCGUACGGUAAACACAGAUAGGUCUAAACUGUAGGUCCAUAGGACCAAUAUCCCUUUAACACACCCGUACGGUAAACACAGAUAGGUCUAUACUGUAGGUCCAUAGGACCAAUAGAGCAGUCAUUAGAGCUAUUUUUAUUCAUGACAUCCUGAGUUAUACACAACAGCCAAAACAUAAAUAUACCACUUGUGUUUCUUAGAUGAAACACUGCAGGGCUGUUACAUGCUCCUGUAUAGGCCAUGGACACCACCUCACAUCGUGUUUUAUUUAAUCGACUUC